GAGGAGAUGUGACUUGGUGGUGACCAACUGU
RNAcentral lists this non-coding RNA (31 nucleotides) under Homo sapiens (human). The record is from RNAcentral. Lineage: Eukaryota; Metazoa; Chordata; Mammalia; Primates; Hominidae.